UACGGAGGGUGCGAGCGUUGUCCGGAAUCACUGGGCGUAAAGGACGCGUAGGCGGCGCGGAUAGUCGGCGGUGAAAGCCCGGAGCUCAACUCCGGGUCGGCCGUCGAUACUUCCGGGCUUGAGCACUGUAGAGGCAGAUGGAAUUCCGGGUGUAGCGGUGGAAUGCGUAGAGAUCCGGAAGAACACCGGUGGCGAAGGCGGUCUGCUGGGCAGUUGCUGACGCUGAUGCGCGACAGCGUGGGGAGCAAACAGG
RNAcentral lists this ribosomal RNA (253 nucleotides) under uncultured bacterium. Its description in RNAcentral is "partial 16S ribosomal RNA". It matches the Rfam family "Bacterial small subunit ribosomal RNA", at positions 524 to 776 of the family's 1533-position model. The record is from RNAcentral.